AAAAGAGUAGAUUAAGAAACAGCUUUUGAAACCGAGUGAGAUUCCCAACAAAGCAAGUCAUUUAGAAGAUGGUAACUAAUUUGACAGAAUAAUGAAGUUUGAAGCUGCUGAAGAUUUUCUCUUCCCUGCAUAAGAAAGCCAGUCUUUCACAUUCAGCUCUCAUCCAUGAAAGUUUGGAUAGAAGUGAAAAGACCAUUAGCUGUGAUGGGCAUGUUUAGCUCUGGAGACACUUCUUCAGUUCUUCAUGAUCACAGGACAACAAUGUUAUGGAAAAUAGUUUUGUCAGCAAUGUAGGAACAGAGCCUGUCAAAGUGAAGUAUGGAGGGCGAAGGCAAUCUGCCAGAAGGAACUGUUCAAUAGUGAGGACUGUCAGCUUGGGGCACAGGUGAACGAAGUUCAAUUUACUGCAGUUCUGCAGACCUCAGGUGAGUCCUUAGGUUGAUCAGACAUCUGUCUCUGCCUAAAUUCCUUACCUGCAAAAUAGGGAUAAUAGUAUAUCCCCAAUCUCAAGGAGAUGAGAUACAUUCAAAGAGAAUUAUGAGCUGCUUGAGUAUUGCAGUACUGGGGCCAUAGUCUGAUAGAUGGAAGUAUGGAAGUUGCAGUGUACAUGCACU
Molecule: long non-coding RNA, 614 nt
Filed under: Apteryx owenii (little spotted kiwi)
Lineage: Eukaryota; Metazoa; Chordata; Aves; Apterygiformes; Apterygidae
Description: lncRNA (ENSAOWG00000004033.1)
Source: RNAcentral